CGAGAGGGUCAGCCAGGGAGUGGGGGGCCGCGCCGGGGGUCUGUCCAGGGUCUGACUGUCCAGGGUCUGACAGCCCAGGGAGUCCUCAGUGUCCUCUCUCCACCCUGAUCAUUCUGUCCUGAGAUGGUGACCCCGAGGGUCUUCACCCAUGCAGGAACAUUUGCACGUCCACCCACAGUGACGGUUUCUGGCGGUGGGAAAAAGUGGAAGAUGCAGGCCAGAGGAAGGAUGCUGCCUGACCGACCACAGCCAGCUCUGCCUAGCAGCCCCGAGAGCAGGCAGAGGAGGGAGCAGGAAGAGACCACAGCUGAUCCCAGCCUUCCUGGCCCUGACGAUUUCACCUUCCCCAUCCAACCUUUGAAUGAGAAGCAAAGUGGGCCAGGCACCAUGGCUCAUGCCUGUAAUCCCAGCGCUUUGGGAGGCUGAGGUGCGAAGAUUGCUCGAGCCCAGGAGUUUGAGACCAGCCUGGGCAACACAGCAAGACUCCCGUCUCUACUAAAAAUAAAAACAUUAGCUAUGUGUGGUGACACAUGCCUGUGGUCCCAGCUACUUGGGAGGCUGAGAUGGGAGGAUCACUUGAGCCUGGCAGUUUGAGGCUACAGUGAGCCACGAUUGUGCCAUUGUACUCCAGCUUGAGCAACAGAGCAAGACUCUGUCUUUUAAAAAGAAAAAAGGCAAAGUACAGAGGCAUUGCCUGUUAUCCCUGCUGCCAACGGGUCUGGCCCUCAGAAGGGAUGGGUUGCCAGAUGACGCAGGUGGGCCCCUCCUGGCCUUGCACAGGGUCCCCCCUCCUUUUUUUUUUUUUUUUGAGACAGAGUCUCACUCUGUCACCCAGGCUAGAGUGCAGUGGUGUGAUCUCGGCUCAUUGCAACCUCUGCCUCCCGGGUUCAAGCGAUUCUCCUGCCUCAGCCUCCCGAGUAGCUGGGACUACAGGCGUGCACCACCACACCCAGCUAAUUUUUGUAUUUUUAGUAGAUACAAGCCUCAGGCUUCAGGCCUCUAGAGCCACAAGAAAACGAAUUUCUGUUGUGGUUUUUUUGUUUUUUUGGAGAGUCUCACUCUGUCACCCAGGCUGGAGUGCAAUGGUGCAAUCUCGGCUCACCACAACUUCUGCUUCCCAGGUUCAAGCGAUUCUCCUGCCUCAGCCUCCCAAGCAGCUGGGAUUACAGGCAUGCGCCACCACCCCCAGCUAAUUUUUUGUAUUUCUAGUAGAGGCGGGGUUUCACCAUGUUGGUGAAAUUGGUCUCGAACUCCUGACCUCAGGUGAUCCACCUGCCUCAGCCUCCCAAAGUGCUGGGAUUAUAGGCAUGAGCCACCUCGCCCGGCCCCAACGGACCCAUCUUCAAGUGUGUAAUUCAAUGGCAUCAACUCCAUUCACGAUGUUGUGCAACUGUCACCUCUAUUAAUAGUUCCAGAACAUUUCAUCAUCCCAAACAGAAACUCUGUACUCAUUAAGCAAUAUCCCUCCCACCCUCCGCCCCCC
Molecule: long non-coding RNA, 1483 nt
Filed under: Homo sapiens (human)
Lineage: Eukaryota; Metazoa; Chordata; Mammalia; Primates; Hominidae
Description: HSALNT0392123
Source: RNAcentral